RNAcentral lists this ribosomal RNA (402 nucleotides) under uncultured bacterium. Its description in RNAcentral is "bacterial SSU rRNA". It matches the Rfam family "Bacterial small subunit ribosomal RNA", at positions 355 to 774 of the family's 1533-position model. The record is from RNAcentral.
UCGGGAACUUUGGGCAAUGGGCGAAAGCCUGACCCAGCAACGCCGCGUGAGGGAUGAAGUAUUUCGGUAUGUAAACCUCGAAAGAAUGGGAAGAAUAAAUGACGGUACCGUUUAUAAGCUCCGGCUAACUACGUGCCAGCAGCCGCGGUAAUACGUAGGGAGCAAGCGUUGUUCGGAUUUACUGGGCGUAAAGGGCGCGUAGGCGGCGCGGUAAGUCACUUGUGAAAUCUCUGAGCUUAACUCAGAACGGCCAAGUGAUACUGCUGUGCUAGAGUGCGGAAGAGGCAACCGGAAUUCUUGGUGUAGCGGUGAAAUGCGUAGAUAUCAAGAGGAACACCUGAGGCGAAGGCGGGUUGCUGGGCCGACACUAACGCUGAUGCGCGAAAGCCAGGGGAGCAAACG